This 451-nucleotide ribosomal RNA is filed under the name uncultured bacterium. RNAcentral's name for it is "partial 16S ribosomal RNA". It matches the Rfam family "Bacterial small subunit ribosomal RNA", at positions 29 to 523 of the family's 1533-position model. The record is from RNAcentral.
AACGAACGCUGGCGGCAGGCUUAACACACGCAAGUCGAACGCGUGUAGCAAUACACGAGUGGCGCACGGGUGCGUAACGCGUGGGAACCUACCCUUUAGUACGGAAUAACCCAGGGAAACUUGGGCUAAUACCGUAUACGUCCUUCGGGAGAAAGAUUUAUCGCUAAAGGAUGGGCCCGCGUCAGAUUAGGUAGUUGGUAGGGUAACGGCCUACCAAGCCGACGAUCUGUAGCUGGUCUGAGAGGAUGAUCAGCCACACUGGGGCUGAGACACAGGCCCGACUCCUACGCGAGGCAGCAGUGGGGACUAUUGGAACAUGGGGGAUACCCUGAUCCAGCCAUGCCGCGUGAGUGAAGAAGGCCAUCGGUUUGUACAGCUCUUUCGACGGGGACGAUGAUGCCGGUACCCUCAUAAGAAGCCCCGGCUAACUUCGUGCCAGCAGCCGCCGUAA